CGGGAAGUAGCUCAGCUUGGUAGAGCACAUGGUUUGGGACCAUGGGGUCGCAGGUUCAAAUCCUGUCUUCCCGACCA
RNAcentral lists this transfer RNA (77 nucleotides) under Bacillus amyloliquefaciens. RNAcentral describes it as "tRNA-Pro". It matches the Rfam family "tRNA". Rfam says of the family: Transfer RNA (tRNA) molecules are approximately 80 nucleotides in length. Their secondary structure includes four short double-helical elements and three loops (D, anti-codon, and T loops). Further hydrogen bonds mediate the characteristic L-shaped molecular structure. tRNAs have two regions of fundamental functional importance: the anti-codon, which is responsible for specific mRNA codon recognition, and the 3' end, to which the tRNAs corresponding amino acid is attached (by aminoacyl-tRNA synthetases). tRNAs cope with the degeneracy of the genetic code in two manners: having more than one tRNA (with a specific anti-codon) for a particular amino acid; and 'wobble' base-pairing, i.e. permitting non-standard base-pairing at the 3rd anti-codon position. RNAcentral also lists the same sequence under 50 other names. Lineage: Bacteria; Bacillati; Bacillota; Bacilli; Caryophanales; Bacillaceae. The record is from RNAcentral.